CCGGCACGGGUGAGUAACACGUAUCCAACCUGCCGUCUACUCUUGGCCAGCCUUCCUGAAAGGAAGAUUAAUCCAGGAUGGCAUCAUGAGUUCACAUGUCCGCAUGAUUAAAGGUAUUUUCCGGUAGACGAUGGGGAUGCGUUCCAUUAGAUAGUAGGCGGGGUAACGGCCCACCUAGUCAACGAUGGAUAGGGGUUCUGAGAGGAAGGUCCCCCACAUUGGAACUGAGACACGGUCCAA
This 240-nucleotide ribosomal RNA is filed under the name uncultured bacterium. RNAcentral describes it as "partial 16S ribosomal RNA". It matches the Rfam family "Bacterial small subunit ribosomal RNA", at positions 100 to 334 of the family's 1533-position model. The record is from RNAcentral.